UUGUAUUUUUUUUUGUAUCCGAUUCAUCGAGUAAUCAACAAAAUAAUCAAGAGAUUAAUAGUUAUCAAGAUAAUUGUUAGAUGCAUCUCUAGUUAAUUGCACAGUAUGUCAAUGCUUCUUCGUAGUUUUUCCCAAUGCAAUUAUAACGACCUUCGAUUAUUUGCGGAUUUUACCUGUUGGUAAACUGAGAUAUUAGAAAUAUUCUGCAUAGUGCGCGAUCAAUUGAAAGUGGGACGUAAAUGAAUAAAGGAAGCCCAACCCUGGGGCUUACAGAUCUCAUCAGGUCAAAAAACGGCCCAUUAUUUUCCGACUGAGUUGUUCACCCCUGCGGACUGGCUUAUCAAAAUUCAUAUUUGCACACCACUUUCUCCCGAAAUGGCACGAGCUAGACUGUUGGAGUGCAUGCCACCACUUUUAAUAAAUGCAUCACUGUCUCUUUAAGAGUUUUGCUGGGAAAAUCCCGCGAGAACAUGGAGCGCGAGUGUGACUCAGACCAGGAAGUGAAGAGAGGGUAAAAUGCCCGCGAAAUUUGACCGUCUCUCAGCUGUGCUUGCCCCCGAUUGCCAAUUGUAAUCGCCAUCGUCACCCGGGAGAUAUUCAGGAUGAUGCAGGUCCCACGGUGACAAGAGUUGAGAACCACCCGUCUGUCUGAAUGACCCCUGACGCGGGCCUGUGGCCAAUCCGUUGUUGGCUCUUAUUUGCCCUGCCAUCGACUGGUUCGCAGUCCAGUCAGUCCGACCCCACCUGUCCGUCAUGCAAGGUCAGAUGGCAUCGGCCCCAACUCACCUGAGUGACGAAGGAGAUAAAAAAUUUGUUUGUCAGUCAUGACCGGGACCUCUUGUGACUGCUUGUGAGCUAGUGCCACCUGCUGGUCAAGUCUAUCAAACAAAACAUGACGUGGUGUACUGCAGUGACGUUUCAUAUUUCAGUGUAGACUACUAACUCAAGAGAAUUGUGCCCAGUUGAUCUAGGUAUGAAUUUAACAUCAAUGAAAAAUAACCAUCCUUAAUAGCUCUCUUUAAAGGCAUUAUUAUUCAGGCAUUUAAUUUGGAUUUAAGUUUCUCUUUCGGAUGACUUUUU
Hippocampus comes (tiger tail seahorse) is the source of this 1080-nucleotide long non-coding RNA. RefSeq lists it as uncharacterized. NCBI's taxonomy places the organism in Eukaryota, Metazoa, Chordata, Actinopteri, Syngnathiformes, Syngnathidae. The record is from RefSeq and is a predicted model, not a curated record. The transcript has 3 exons.